Molecule: long non-coding RNA, 756 nt
Organism: Ruditapes philippinarum (Manila clam)
Lineage: Eukaryota; Metazoa; Mollusca; Bivalvia; Venerida; Veneridae
Exons: 2
Source: RefSeq, a predicted model, not a curated record
ACAUGUGAACCCUACCGAUUUGGGCGGUAGACUACCGAUUUUGGCCAACUAAGACCCCCCUACCGCUCGGGGUUUACAAACUACCGAUAUUUCAUUUCAAAAGCAAUAAAAAUUCUACAACACAAGCGUUUCAGUAAUCAUGAUCAGUGUAAACAUUUAUUGACUGGUUUACCGAUAUCGAUUUGUUUUACCCAUCCACAGUCUGUCUAUUUCACUAAAAAUGUAACACAGUCUAAUUACCUUGACCUUGGUAUCGGCAAAUUUGUUUGUAUAUUGUCAGUUUUUCACAGCUUGACUUCGGGGUUUAUAAUUGCUGAUAACAGUAAUUAGGCACAUGCGAGGGAGAUUAAAAUCUGGGAUCAGAAUAUACCAUGGAAGCAAUGCAUUGGGUAUGGGUCUGACAACGCUAGUGUCAUGAUAGUCCGUUAGGGGACUAAUAAAGUUUCCCAAACAUCACAAGGUAUCACAAGGUAUGGUUGGCCGUCACAACUCUGUCUGGGAAGCAACCUGAUGUGUCUGAUAUGGGCUGUGUAUGCCAUUUAGCCAACACUUGUGUACAGUGAAGUCAAAAAACAUGUAUUCAUGACAUAUAAAGACAGUUCUAAUUGUGUAAAGUGUGAAAGUUGAGUAAAUUACAUAAACAUCAAAACACAAGUGCAGUGGGAAAAAAACAUGUAUGUUUUAUAAAGAAAGUUUUUUAAUGAUAACAUUGGGUUGUUAAUUAGUUAUCAUGCAAAAUAAAAUGUUUUUAAAGAA